UACGUAGGAGACGAGCGUUGUCCGGAGUUACUGGGCGUAAAGGGUGCGCAGGUGGCGGCGCGCGUGGGGGGUGAAAUCGCCCGGCUUAACUGGGCGGGGGCCUUCCAGACGGCGUGGCUUGAGCAGCGGAGGGGGACGUGGAAUUCCGGGUGGAGCGGUGAAAUGCGUAGAGAUCCGGAGGAACACCGACGGCGCAGGCAGCGUCCUGGCCGAUUGCUGACACUGAGGCACGAAAGCUGGGGGAGCAAACAGG
This 253-nucleotide ribosomal RNA is filed under the name uncultured bacterium. RNAcentral describes it as "partial 16S ribosomal RNA". It matches the Rfam family "Bacterial small subunit ribosomal RNA", at positions 524 to 776 of the family's 1533-position model. The record is from RNAcentral.